RNAcentral lists this ribosomal RNA (497 nucleotides) under uncultured bacterium. RNAcentral's name for it is "partial 16S ribosomal RNA". It matches the Rfam family "Bacterial small subunit ribosomal RNA", at positions 28 to 507 of the family's 1533-position model. The record is from RNAcentral.
GACGAACGCUGGCGGCGUGCCUAAUACAUGCAAGUUGAGCGCUGAAGGUUGGUACUUGUACCAACUGGAUGAGCAGCGAACGGGUGAGUAACGCGUGGGGAAUCUGCCUUUGAGCGGGGGACAACAUUUGGAAACGAAUGCUAAUACCGCAUAAAAACUUUAAACACAAGUUUUAAGUUUGAAAGAUGCAAUUGCAUCACUCAAAGAUGAUCCCGCGUUGUAUUAGCUAGUUGGUGAGGUAAAGGCUCACCAAGGCGAUGAUACAUAGCCGACCUGAGAGGGUGAUCGGCCACACUGGGAAUGUGAAACGGCCCAAACUCCAGCGGGAGGCAGCAGUAGGGAAUCUUCGGCAAUGGACGAAAGUCUGACCGAGCAACGCCGCGUGAGUGAAGAAGGUUUUCGGAUCGUAAAACUCUGUUGGUAGAGAAGAACGUUGGUGAGAGUGGAAAGCUCAUCAAGUGACGGUAACUACCCAGAAAGGGACGGCUAACUACGUG